GAUGAACGCUGGCGGCGUGCCUAAUACAUGCAAGUCGAGCGAACAGACGAGGAGCUUGCUCCUCUGACGUUAGCGGCGGACGGGUGAGUAACACGUGGAUAACCUACCUAUAAGACUGGGAUAACUUCGGGAAACCGGAGCUAAUACCGGAUAAUAUAUUGAACCGCAUGGUUCAAUAGUGAAAGACGGUUUUGCUGUCACUUAUAGAUGGAUCCGCGCCGCAUUAGCUAGUUGGUAAGGUAACGGCUUAACAAGGCAACGAUGCGUAGCCGACCUGAGAGGGUGAUCGGCCACACUGGAACUGAGACACGGUACAGACUCCUACGGGAGGCAGCAGUAGGGAAUCUUCCGCAAUGGGCGAAAGCCUGACGGAGCAACGCCGCGUGAGUGAUGAAGGUCUUCGGAUCGUAAAACUCUGUUAUUAGGGAAGAACAAAUGUGUAAGUAACUAUGCACGUCUUGACGGUACCUAAUCAGAAAGCCACGGCUAACUACGUG
RNAcentral lists this ribosomal RNA (497 nucleotides) under uncultured bacterium. RNAcentral's name for it is "partial 16S ribosomal RNA". It matches the Rfam family "Bacterial small subunit ribosomal RNA", at positions 28 to 507 of the family's 1533-position model. The record is from RNAcentral.